UGCAAGUCGUACGAGAGUUUUUAACUCAAGUGGCGGACGGGUGAGUAACACGUAAGAAUUUACCUUUAGGAGGGGGACAACAACUGGAAACGGUUGCUAAUACCCCAUAUGCUUUCGAGUGAAAUGGAUUUUUCCGCCUAAAGAGAAGCUUGCGGCUGAUUAGCUUGUUGGUGAGGUAAUGGCUUACCAAGGCGACGAUCAGUAUCUGGUUUGAGAGGAUGAUCAGACACACUGGAACUGAGACACGGUCCAGACUCCUACGGGAGGCAGCAGUGGGGAAUUUUCCGCAAUGGGCGAAAGCCUGACGGAGCAAUACCGCGUGAGGGAUGACGGCCUAUGGGUUGUAAACCUCUUUUUUCAGGGAGGAAUCAAUGACGUGUACCUGAAGAAUAAGCAUCGGCUAACUCCGUGCCAGCAGCCGCGGUAAGACGGAGGAUGCAAGUGUUAUCCGGAAUCACUGGGCGUAAAGCGUCUGUAGGUGGUCAAAUAAGUCAACUGUUAAAUCUUGAGGCUCAACCUCAAGAU
Molecule: ribosomal RNA, 525 nt
Filed under: uncultured bacterium
Lineage: Bacteria
Description: bacterial SSU rRNA
Rfam family: Bacterial small subunit ribosomal RNA
Source: RNAcentral